RNAcentral lists this ribosomal RNA (420 nucleotides) under uncultured Alphaproteobacteria bacterium. Its description in RNAcentral is "bacterial SSU rRNA". It matches the Rfam family "Bacterial small subunit ribosomal RNA", at positions 8 to 457 of the family's 1533-position model. Lineage: Bacteria; Pseudomonadati; Pseudomonadota; Alphaproteobacteria. The record is from RNAcentral.
AGAGUUUGAUCCUGGCUCAGAACGAACGCUGGCGGCAGGCCUAACACAUGCAAGUCGAACGAUGCCUUCGGGCAUAGUGGCGCACGGGUGAGUAACACGUGGGAACAUACCUUUUGGUGGGGGAUAACUUCGGGAAACUGAAGCUAAUACCGCAUACGCCCCUUGGGGGAAAGAUUUAUCGCCGAAAGAUUGGCCCGCGUCCGAUUAGCUAGUUGGUGAGGUAAUGGCUCACCAAGGCUCCGAUCGGUAGCUGGUCUGAGAGGAUGACCAGCCACACUGGGACUGAGACACGGCCCAGACUCCUACGGGAGGCAGCAGUGGGGAAUAUUGGACAAUGGGCGCAAGCCUGAUCCAGCCAUGCCGCGUGAGUGAUGAAGGCCUUAGGGUUGUAAAGCUCUUCACCCACGACGAUGAUGACGG